Molecule: transfer RNA, 85 nt
Filed under: Felis catus (domestic cat)
Lineage: Eukaryota; Metazoa; Chordata; Mammalia; Carnivora; Felidae
Rfam family: tRNA
About the family: Transfer RNA (tRNA) molecules are approximately 80 nucleotides in length. Their secondary structure includes four short double-helical elements and three loops (D, anti-codon, and T loops). Further hydrogen bonds mediate the characteristic L-shaped molecular structure. tRNAs have two regions of fundamental functional importance: the anti-codon, which is responsible for specific mRNA codon recognition, and the 3' end, to which the tRNAs corresponding amino acid is attached (by aminoacyl-tRNA synthetases). tRNAs cope with the degeneracy of the genetic code in two manners: having more than one tRNA (with a specific anti-codon) for a particular amino acid; and 'wobble' base-pairing, i.e. permitting non-standard base-pairing at the 3rd anti-codon position.
Source: Rfam by way of RNAcentral
GCCUGGGUGGCUCAGUCGGUUAAGUGUCCGACUGCGGCUCGGGUCAUGAUCUCGCGGUUCGUGGGUUCGAGCCCCGCAUUGGGCU